This 73-nucleotide transfer RNA is filed under the name Cordylochernes scorpioides. Its description in RNAcentral is "tRNA-Thr". It matches the Rfam family "tRNA". From Rfam's summary of the family: Transfer RNA (tRNA) molecules are approximately 80 nucleotides in length. The record is from RNAcentral. Lineage: Eukaryota; Metazoa; Arthropoda; Arachnida; Pseudoscorpiones; Chernetidae.
UCCAGGGUAGCCUAGUGGACAUUGUAUCUUCCCUGUAAGAGGAACACUGUGGGUUCGAUUCCCAUCCCUGGAC